Molecule: ribosomal RNA, 420 nt
Filed under: uncultured bacterium
Lineage: Bacteria
Description: bacterial SSU rRNA
Rfam family: Bacterial small subunit ribosomal RNA
Source: RNAcentral
UAAGGAAUAUUGGUCAAUGGACGCAAGUCUGAACCAGCCAUGCAGCGUGAAGGAUGAAGGUCCUCUGGAUUGUAAACUUCUUUUAUCUGGGACGAAAACGGGAUUCUUCGGCACUUGACGGUACCAUAGGAAUAAGCACCGGCUAACUCCGUGCCAGCAGCCGCGGUAAUACGGAGGGUGCAAGCGUUAUCCGGAUUCACUGGGUUUAAAGGGUGCGUGGGCGGGCAGGUAAGUCAGUGGUGAAAUCUUCCGGCUUAACCGGAAAACUGCCGUUGAUACUAUUUGUCUUGAAUAUUGCGGAGGUAAGCGGAAUAUGUCAUGUAGCGGUGAAAUGCAUAGAUAUGACAUGGAACACCAAUUGCGAAGGCAGCUUACUACACAAUGAUUGACGCUGAUGCACGAAAGCGUGGGGAGCGAACA